RNAcentral lists this long non-coding RNA (641 nucleotides) under Gossypium barbadense (sea-island cotton). RNAcentral describes it as "long non-coding RNA (GBAR_LNC019816)". Lineage: Eukaryota; Viridiplantae; Streptophyta; Magnoliopsida; Malvales; Malvaceae. The record is from RNAcentral.
UUGGCUUCAAGAAAGCUUUCCUCAUUCAAUUCUUGUGUUCUACUUGCUGUCUGAAUCGUCUUUCCUCCUUUCUCUAUUAUUUUCUUUUGUUUUUCCCUUGUUUAAGCCGAAUCAAUUUGUUAACUCACUUCUUGAAUUUUUGGCAGUUUAUCCUCUUCAAGAUGUAUUCAAGAACGUAUCUCCCACUCAAGAUCCAUUCUUCCUACUCUCUAAAUUCAUUGUAUCCUUGUUCUUUGUUCUUGAAUUUUCAUUUUUUAGUUGCUACCGGAUUCUCCUAAUUUCCUUUUGGCUUCUUCUUGCAUUUUAGGUUACUUGGUCGCCAAGAAAAGGGUUUUCUCAUUUCAAUUUAGUUUCCCCCUUUAUUCAACAACUUGAAUUUCAAUCUUACUCCAUUACCCCAUCAAUAUAUUUCAAUAAUAUCCAAGAGACAUCAUUGUUUGCAACAAUGUUGUAAAAAUCGGAUUAGAAGUUGAACUAAUUAGACCACUUAUUUUUGGUUUAAUAUUUUCAAUUAUUUGAACCAUUGGUAAAACAAUAUUUAAAUGAAUAAUUAAAUAGUUCACAAUAAUUAAUUUUAAAAAAUAAAAAUUCAUAAACUAGUUGAAGUAUUGAUUUUUGUCUUGAUUUUUUUUAAAUUUUUU